RNAcentral lists this long non-coding RNA (210 nucleotides) under Amborella trichopoda. Its description in RNAcentral is "long non-coding RNA (ATRI_LNC000939)". The record is from RNAcentral. Lineage: Eukaryota; Viridiplantae; Streptophyta; Magnoliopsida; Amborellales; Amborellaceae.
UGGGUCACACUCAAAUUUUACUAGCGUGUUCGUUUCAUCAAGACGAGCGUUUCGAUAUGUAGCAUGCCCCACGACAACGCCGGAGCAGGGAAAAAAACUAGAGAGAAGUUGUCAAUUCGUGAAGGAAGUUGCAGGAAAAUCAACAACGACAUGCCUCGCUCGAGUGGCCAAAUCACGGCGUUCGCGCAUCGGAUUGAGGCGAGACCAGUU